RNAcentral lists this ribosomal RNA (1287 nucleotides) under metagenome. RNAcentral describes it as "bacterial SSU rRNA". It matches the Rfam family "Bacterial small subunit ribosomal RNA", at positions 242 to 1520 of the family's 1533-position model. The record is from RNAcentral.
UAGCUAGUUGGUGAGGUAAAGGCUUACCAAGGCGACGAUCUGUAGCGGGUCUGAGAGGAUGAUCCGCCACACUGGAACUGAGACACGGUCCAGACUCCUACGGGAGGCAGCAGUGGGGAAUUUUGGACAAUGGGGGCAACCCUGAUCCAGCCAUGCCGCGUGAGUGAAGAAGGCCUUCGGGUUGUAAAGCUCUUUCGGCCGGGAAGAAAUCGCAUGGGCCAAUACCCUGUGUGGAUGACGGUACCGGAAUAAGAAGCACCGGCUAACUACGUGCCAGCAGCCGCGGUAAUACGUAGGGUGCGAGCGUUAAUCGGAAUUACUGGGCGUAAAGCGUGCGCAGGCGGUUUUGUAAGACAGGCGUGAAAUCCCCGGGCUUAACCUGAGAACUGCGUUUGUGACUGCAAGGCUAGAGUACGGCAGAGGGGGGUGGAAUUCCACGUGUAGCAGUGAAAUGCGUAGAGAUGUGGAGGAACACCAAUGGCGAAGGCAGCCCCCUGGGUCGAUACUGACGCUCAUGCACGAAAGCGUGGGUAGCAAACAGGAUUAGAUACCCUGGUAGUCCACGCCCUAAACUAUGUCAACUAGGUGUUGGGUGGGUAAAACCACUUAGUACCGUAGCUAACGCGUGAAGUUGACCGCCUGGGGAGUACGGCCGCAAGGUUAAAACUCAAAGGAAUUGACGGGGACCCGCACAAGCGGUGGAUGAUGUGGAUUAAUUCGAUGCAGCGCGAAAAACCUUACCUACCCUUGACAUGCCAGGAACUUGCCAGAGAUGGCUUGGUGCCCGAAAGGGAGCCUGGACACAGGUGCUGCAUGGCUGUCGUCAGCUCGUGUCGUGAGAUGUUGGGUUAAGUCCCGCAACGAGCGCAACCCUUGUCGUUAAUUGCCAUCAUUUAGUUGGGCACUUUAACGAGACUGCCGGUGACAAACCGGAGGAAGGUGGGGAUGACGUCAAGUCCUCAUGGCCCUUAUGGGUAGGGCUUCACACGUCAUACAAUGGUCGGUACAAAGGGUUGCCAAGCCGCGAGGCGGAGCCAAUCCCAGAAAGCCGAUCGUAGUCCGGAUUGCAGGCUGCAACUCGCCUGCAUGAAGUCGGAAUCGCUAGUAAUCGUGGAUCAGCAUGUCACGGUGAAUACGUUCCCGGGUCUUGUACACACCGCCCGUCACACCAUGGGAGCGGGUUCCGCCAGAAGUAGGUAGCCUAACCGCAAGGGGGGCGCUUACCACGGCGGGGUUCGUGACUGGGGUGAAGUCGGAACAAGGUAGCCGUAGGGGAACCUGCGGCUG